GACGAACGCUGGCGGCGUGCUUAACACAUGCAAGUCGAACGGAAAGGCCCUGCUUGUAGGGUACUCGAGUGGCGAACGGGUGAGUAACACGUGGGUGAUCUGCCCUGCACUUCGGGAUAAGCCUGGGAAACUGGGUCUAAUACCGGAUAGGAGCCAUUUUUAGUGUGAUGGUUGGAAAGUUUUUUCGGUGUAGGAUGAGCUCGCGGCCUAUCAGCUUGUUGGUGGGGUAAUGGCCUACCAAGGCGGCGACGGGUAGCCGGCCUGAGAGGGUGGACGGCCACAUUGGGACUGAGAUACGGCCCAGACUCCUACGGGAGGCAGCAGUGGGGAAGAUUGCACAAUGGGCGCAAGCCUGAUGCAGCGACGCCGCGUGGGGGAUGACGGCCUUCGGGUUGUAAACUCCUUUCGCUAGGGACGAAGCUUUUUGUGACGGUACCUAGAUAAGAAGCACCGGCUAACUACGUG
Molecule: ribosomal RNA, 465 nt
Filed under: uncultured bacterium
Lineage: Bacteria
Description: partial 16S ribosomal RNA
Rfam family: Bacterial small subunit ribosomal RNA
Source: RNAcentral